UCUAAAAUAUCCGUCAAAAAAAGAAGAAAAAUCAGUGGAAACUGUCCCAAGAUAUUCAAAAGUGCGAAAGGGGGUCGUAUUGUAGUUUUAAAAAACGGAGCUGGUGUUGUUUUUAUUUUUGCAAAAAGAGUUUGUGUCCAUGCACACUACUAGCGUGAGACCUCGAAGAUGAUUGAAACUCUGUGAGCAAAAAAUUGAUGUUAGACAAAAUGCAUAUCGCCAAUGUGGUCAGUUGGAAGAAACUGUUCAACAUCUUGUCGAAGACGAGUGUCGAUUUAGGUACGAAUUUUCAAGUAGACUUCACCAAAAUUCAUGAAUUGUCUGUGACCAGAAGCUGAAACUUGGUCCACUAUCAAAGUUCUGUAAUUUCAUCUAUGUACGAGUAUAACUGUCUUUUUUUUCUGCCCUAUUAAUAUACUAUAAUAUGCUUUAGAA
This is a long non-coding RNA of Tribolium castaneum (red flour beetle), 435 nucleotides long. RefSeq lists it as uncharacterized. NCBI's taxonomy places the organism in Eukaryota, Metazoa, Arthropoda, Insecta, Coleoptera, Tenebrionidae. The record is from RefSeq and is a predicted model, not a curated record. The transcript has 2 exons.